Molecule: long non-coding RNA, 2441 nt
Organism: Malaclemys terrapin pileata
Lineage: Eukaryota; Metazoa; Chordata; Testudines; Emydidae
Exons: 5
Source: RefSeq, a predicted model, not a curated record
CCCCCAGCACCAUCAUAGCCUUUCCCUGAUCUGCCCCUUUAAGAAAAAUCAACCCACUCUAAGCCUAACCCUUUGUACACUGACCUUACACACUGGACAAUAUUUAAGGAUCAAGGUACCAUCCUAUAAAGAGGUACCAAGGCAGAGCCAUUUUCUGGACGCCAGAUAUAAUAGUGAUCGCCUCCUUGGGAAUAUUAAAAAUACUGCUACUCCUAAGUGAUCCCUGCCUAGACAUUGGAGUUGUCCGUGAUCCCCGGAAGUGGAGGCACAGACAGAUCAGACAGACCCUCUUUGAAGAAAGGAGUGAAGUGUAAAUAGCUGGGUGAUUGAUGUGCUGUCUUUGACUGCGGAGAAAGCACUAUUUUAAUUCAAGUGGCCAGGUCAGAUGGUCACGGAGGAAGGUUGAAAGCGCCACCGCUCCUCCACCUCGCUCUGUAGCCCUGUACAAUGAUUUCAGAGGACGCAGACAAUACGGAUCAAAGCUGCACCAGGGCCAGUUUCUCUGAAGACACGUGGAAAAGAGAAGAAAUCGCCGGCAUUGUGUUGAGUUUCACGCAUUGUUUGCCUGUGGAGAACAAGGGAGCGAAUUCCCCCGAGAAGGCAAAGCACCGAACCUGGAGGGUGUGUGGGGAGAGGGGCGGGGGCGAAGGUGGGGUUCGCUCUAUUGUUCCUAAUUAAUUCUGAUUAACAACGAUUCCUAAUCAAAAAAUGUUGGCUUCAAAGUCGGAGAGCCAGGAAGACGUAAUGAGGAGUCCGCGCCACGGAUCGUGUGUAAACUGUCCCCUUCCUUUCUUCUCAGUAUAAAUAAAACGGGGCCAAUGGACGAAGACAGAACAGGGCAACCUUCUUUCGCCCUAUAUUGAGACUCGGCUACCGCAAUUAACAUUGCUGCAUAUGGAAACUUUGACGCGGAGUCGCCACGCGAGUGCCCUGGAAGCCGGGAGAGGCAGUUGACUAGAACAGCUUGUCUUGAGGCAAGAAAAGAAACACAAGAAAGUUAAAUAAAAUAAAGUGCACAUUAAGGGAAAGGCUAUGCAGGCGCACAGACUCCCCCUGAGCUGGGGGGGGGGGGUUGUUUUCCAGUUACUGGGCUGAGGAAUGUAGAUCUGACUAGGAGAGAGCCCAUAUUUCUGGGGACACCCCCCCUUCUAUUCAUUUGAAGAUACAGAUAACCCCAGGGCUGGCCCAAUCACUGGGGAAAGUGAAAGGCAAAGGGAUAAUGUUCAGGUUGGAAUCUCACUUUGCAAAAAUUGCAUCGAUGAUUACCCCGACCCCCGCGCUCCGGGAAACCUGUUCCACAUUUAAACUAACUUGCAAGUUUCAGAUUUGCGCCAGGAUCUGCAAAAAAUAAAAUACCCCCCCCCCCCGCCCCGAAGUCACUCAAAAUCAGCCCAUGCGCCCAUUGCAAGAAUCAAUCCGAAUUAUAUUGUUACAUAAACCGCGGCUGCCUUCGCUCCGGGAAGAGCAGUUGCCUUCUGGAGCGGGGUACGGAGCCUGGCUCCCAGAGCGCGGUUGUAUUAGCCUGUAGGGCACAGAGCAGCCCCCAGAACAGUGGCAUUAUUGGGGAGACCCUCCGAGGGGAAGCGGUGGAGUGGGGAGCAAGAAACGGAUGAAAGUCCGUUUCGGCUCCAGGGACAGCAGGGCAGGCUAAAGGAAGCAGAGCUCCACGUCCCAGCCUAGCACAGGGUGUAGCAAAGAACAGCCCCCCCAAACCAGCAACCCUCCCCCCAGGAAAGCAGCUGGCGGGGUGAUUCCAGCUCAGAUGCGGGAGGGCGCAAGAGGUUCUGCCUUUUGGUUUCCUACCUAAAGAAACCGACACUGGCUCUGAAAAGGUGACAGAUGCUGCUGUUCCCCCCUGUCUUUCUACAGCGCUGGCAUGUGGCAGGCAGGAGUGGCCCGUCUCGCCCAGGAAGGGUAAGGCCAGCACAUGUAACUGCCUGUGUCAUUCGACUCCCUAUAGAGGGUCCGGGGCUGAGCAUUUACAGGUGGACGGGUCCGGUCUCUGACGGUCAGGGGGGUCCGCACUUUAUCCCUGGAAUCGGAGAAGUGGGCUACAGGGGAUGAAGACAAGAUCCGCAUUGCUCCAAACGUUCUGAUUUGCGUGGUUGAAUGGGGAAAGGGGAGACCGAGAACACCCCCCCCCCCAGCACGAACCCAUAUUGCAGAACGUGGGAGCGGCGACUCUAGAUUCACUUUGUUACGUAUCCUUAACUUCACGUUUCCACCUUCCAAUUAAAGUUGCCCAAAAUUGCCCACAGCCUUAUUUGCAUGCAAGGGACUCAGUUCAAAGAUGCUAACGUAUUGUCUCCUCUUAGAACUUAACAUUUCCCUCUUCAGUUCUCACUUGAAAGAAGUUUCAGAACAGUAUUCACAGACUGUCCAAACGAACAAAACCUUCCCCUUUGCUAGGAAGAGAAAUCCGGUGUAUUCAAUCAAGGGGG